ACACGCAUGACACACUGCAUAUCAAUAAGCGGAGGAAAAGAAACUAACAAGGAUUCCCUAGUAACGGCGAGUGAAGCGGGAAGAGCUCAAAUUUGAAAUCUUCAAGGUUCUACCUUGACGAAUUGUAGUUUAUAGAAGUGUUUUCUGUUAGUGGAGUGGCAAAAGUUCUUUGGAAUAGGACAUCAUAGAGGGUGAGAAUCCCGUAUUUGGUCAUUCCUCCUAGCGUUGUGAUACACUUUCAACGAGUCGGACUGUUUGGGAAUGCAGUCCAAAAUGGGUGGUAAAUUUCAUCUAAAGCUAAAUAUUGGCGAGAGACCGAUAGCGAACAAGUACCGUGAGGGAAAGAUGAAAAGAACUUUGAAAAGAGAGUUAAACAGUACGUGAAAUUGUCAAAAGGGAAGCGUUUGACACCAGUGUUGUUUUUCCGAAAAUCAAUUACGAAUGUUUUGUUUUUGAGGAGUUAUGACUUCAUCGGCUUGCUCCUUUCUUUAUGAAACUUUCUUAAUGCACUUUUCGGUUAACAAGUCAACAUCAAUUUCUUUUGUUGUAAAAGGGUAUGAGGAAGGUGGCUUUCUUUUCGGAGAAAGUGUUUAUAGCCUUGUGCCUCUGCAAUCGGAGAGAUUGAGGUCUGCAGCGUAGAUCCUUCGGGGUUAGAUACAUUUGUGCUAAGUUAUAGCUUGUCAUAGACAACUUGUUGACUAUGUUCAGUCAUUGUAGCUUACUCGCUUAUGCUAUUUUACCUACGCUUAGGAUGUUGACGAGACUGUCGAUCUC
Molecule: ribosomal RNA, 774 nt
Filed under: uncultured Neocallimastigales
Lineage: Eukaryota; Fungi; Neocallimastigomycota; Neocallimastigomycetes; Neocallimastigales
Description: partial large subunit ribosomal RNA
Rfam family: Eukaryotic large subunit ribosomal RNA
Source: RNAcentral